GCAUAUCAAUAAGCGGAGGAAAAGAAACCAACAGGGAUUGCCCCAGUAACGGCGAGUGAAGCGGCAACAGCUCAAAUUUGAAAUCUGGUCCCCAGGGCCCGAGUUGUAAUUUGUAGAGGAUGCUUUUGGCGAGGUGCCUUCCGAGUUCCCUGGAACGGGACGCCAUAGAGGGUGAGAGCCCCGUCUGGUUGGAUACCAAGCCUCUGUAAAGCUCCUUCGACGAGUCGAGUAGUUUGGGAAUGCUGCUCUAAAUGGGAGGUAUAUGUCUUCUAAAGCUAAAUACCGGCCAGAGACCGAUAGCGCACAAGUAGAGUGAUCGAAAGAUGAAAAGCACUUUGAAAAGAGGGUUAAAUAGUACGUGAAAUUGUUGAAAGGGAAGCGUUUGUGACCAGACUUGGGCCCGGUUAAUCAUCCAGCGUUCUCGCUGGUGCACUUUGCCGGCCCAGGCCAGCAUCAGUUCGCGCCGGGGGAUAAAGGCUUCGGGAAUGUGGCUCCUCCGGGAGUGUUAUAGCCCGCUGCGUAAUACCCUGGUGCGGACUGAGGUUCGCGCUCCGCAAGGAUGCUGGCGUAAUGGUCAUCAGCGACCCGUCUUGAAACACGGACCAAGGAGUCGUCUUCGUAUGCGAGUGUUCGGGUGUCAAACCCCUACGCGUAAUGAAAGUGAACGUAGGUGAGAGCUUCGGCGCAUCAUCGACCGAUCCUGAUGUUCUCGGAUGGAUUUGAGUAAGAGCAUACGGGGCCGGACCCGAAAGAAGGUGAACUAUGCCUGUAUAGGGUGAAGCCAGAGGAAACUCUGGUGGAGGCUCGCAGCGGUUCUGACGUGCAAAUCGAUCGUCAAAUAUGGGCAUGGGGGGCGAAAGACUAAUCGAACCUUCUAGUAGCUGGUUUCCGCCGAG
Molecule: ribosomal RNA, 896 nt
Filed under: Niesslia mucida
Lineage: Eukaryota; Fungi; Ascomycota; Sordariomycetes; Hypocreales; Niessliaceae
Description: partial large subunit ribosomal RNA
Rfam family: Eukaryotic large subunit ribosomal RNA
Source: RNAcentral